AUGACCUGCUAUUGCAUGUUCUCUAAGACGAAGGCUAAAACUGCAGUGGCAGACAUGCUUACAAGAUCUCGUGAAGAUCAUUCUGCUGAUGAUGGGAAUGGUCUGUAUGGUCCAUACAUGGUUAUUGCUCUUCCUUCCACCCUGUCAAACUGGUUGAACGACUCAAUGAGGUUUGCUCCUUCUCUAAAUGGUCUGAUUUAUCAUGGAGAUAAAGUGGCUCGGACAGAGCUAGCGAGAAACUACAUGCCCAAAACUGUUGGUCCUGGUUUUCCGAUAAUAAUCACUUCAUAUGAGAUGGCUAUGUUUGAUGCAAAGUUUCUUGCUAAUUAUAAGUGGAAGUCACAUGAUCUGAAUUAUUGCCCUUAUGGUACCUCGCAAAACACACUGUGGUGGUCGCCCUCAGCUACGACGAUGUGCAUUCCUUGGCACCGGGAAUUGGGCUGGGACGUCGUGGAGAGGAGAGAAGGGGGCGGGCGACACAAUGGAGGGAAGGAGAGAUGGUGGUGA
This 507-nucleotide ribosomal RNA is filed under the name Triticum aestivum (bread wheat). RNAcentral describes it as "partial small subunit ribosomal RNA". The record is from RNAcentral. Lineage: Eukaryota; Viridiplantae; Streptophyta; Magnoliopsida; Poales; Poaceae.